This 339-nucleotide unclassified non-coding RNA is filed under the name soil metagenome. RNAcentral describes it as "partial contains 5.8S ribosomal RNA, internal transcribed spacer 2, and large subunit ribosomal RNA". The stretch from base 1 to 120 matches the Rfam family "5.8S ribosomal RNA", at positions 35 to 154 of the family's 154-position model. The record is from RNAcentral.
GAUGAAGAACGCAGCGAAAUGCGAUAAGUAAUGUGAAUUGCAGAAUUCCGUGAAUCAUCGAAUCUUUGAACGCAUAUUGCGCCCUCUGGUAUUCUGGAGGGCAUGCCUGUCCGAGCGUCAUUGCAACCCUCAAGCGCGGCUUGUGUGUUGGGCUUCGUCCCCCCGUGGACGUGCCCGAAAGGCAGUGGCGGCGUCCCGAAUGGUGCCCGAGCGUAUGGGAACUCUCUUCCGCUCGAACCGGCCCAUUCGGCGCUGGUCGAACCCCAAUUUUUUUUUACCGGUUGACCUCGGAUCAGGUAGGGAUACCCGCUGAACUUAAGCAUAUCAAUAAGCGGAGGA